CACAAGCGGUGGAGCAUGUGGUUAAUUCGAAGCAACGCGAAGAACCUUACCAGGCCUUGACAUGCAGAGAACUUUCCAGAGAUGGAUUGGUGCCUUCGGGAACUCUGACACAGGUGCUGCAUGGCUGUCGUCAGCUCGUGUCGUGAGAUGUUGGGUUAAGUCCGUAACGAGCGCAACCCUUGUCCUUAGUUACCAGCACGUUAUGGUGGGCACUCUAAGGAGACUGCCGGUGACAAACCGGAGGAAGGUGGGGAGUGACGUCAAGUCAUCAUGGCCCUUACGGCCUGGGCUACACACGUGCUACAAUGGUCGGUACAAAGGGUUGGCCAAGCCGCGAGGUGGAGCUAAUCCCAUAAAACCGAAUCGUAGUCCGGAUCGCAGUCUGCAACUCGACUGCGUGAAGUCGGAAUCGCUAGUAAUCGUGAAUCAGAAUGUCACGGUGAAUACGUUCCCGGGCCUU
RNAcentral lists this ribosomal RNA (460 nucleotides) under uncultured Pseudomonas sp. RNAcentral's name for it is "bacterial SSU rRNA". It matches the Rfam family "Bacterial small subunit ribosomal RNA", at positions 924 to 1382 of the family's 1533-position model. The record is from RNAcentral. Lineage: Bacteria; Pseudomonadati; Pseudomonadota; Gammaproteobacteria; Pseudomonadales; Pseudomonadaceae.